AGUCUUAUAGUCAAUAAUGAUAUAAAAUUGCAAAUUUUAAGGGGUAUAGAAUACUAAGACUU
RNAcentral lists this transfer RNA (62 nucleotides) under Graphium leechi. RNAcentral describes it as "tRNA-Cys". The record is from RNAcentral. Lineage: Eukaryota; Metazoa; Arthropoda; Insecta; Lepidoptera; Papilionidae.